This 252-nucleotide long non-coding RNA is filed under the name Lathyrus oleraceus (garden pea). RNAcentral describes it as "Pisum sativum (pea) long non-coding RNA (PSAT_LNC037990)". The record is from RNAcentral. Lineage: Eukaryota; Viridiplantae; Streptophyta; Magnoliopsida; Fabales; Fabaceae.
UUUCUUCUUUUUUUUUUGGUUCGCCGGGAUGCCCUUUUUUGCCUGGACUCUUUUAUUCUUUUUGUCCAGCGGGUCUCUCUUUUUUUCACGAAGUAUCUUUUAACUGCGUCCGCAUUCACAGGGAGUGGAAAAUCUUCCUCAUUCGUGGUCAUCAAUCACAAGGUUCUGUCAGAGGAGACCUUUUCGACCACGAAUGGACCUUUAUAACUGUUUAUCCAUUUGCCCCACGAUCGUUGAGGAGGAAGGAUCCUU